RNAcentral lists this ribosomal RNA (326 nucleotides) under uncultured eukaryote. RNAcentral describes it as "partial 18S ribosomal RNA". It matches the Rfam family "Eukaryotic small subunit ribosomal RNA", at positions 1470 to 1796 of the family's 1831-position model. The record is from RNAcentral.
CCCUUAGAUGUUCUGGGCCGCACGCGCGCUACACUGAUGCAUUCAACGAGUCCAACCUUGACCGAGAGGUCCGGGUAAUCUUUGAAACUGCAUCGUGAUGGGGCUAGAUUAUUGCAAUUAUUAAUCUUCAACGAGGAAUGCCUAGUAAGCGUGAUUCAUCAAAUCGCGUUGAUUACGUCCCUGCCCUUUGUACACACCGCCCGUCGCUCCUACCGAUUGAGUGUGUUGGUGAGGAGUUUGGAUUGGCCUCGGAAGGUGGUUCGCCACCGUCCGUAGCUGAGAAGUUCUCCAAACCGCCCCACUUAGAGGAAGGAGAAGUCGCAACA